UAGGGAAUCUUCGGCAAUGGGCGAAAGCCUGACCGAGCAACGCCGCGUGAGCGAUGAAGGCCUUCGGGUCGUAAAGCUCUGUUGUUAGAGAAGAACAAGUACGAGAGUAACUGCUCGUACCUUGACGGUACCUAACCAGAAAGCCACGGCUAACUACGUGCCAGCAGCCGCGGUAAUACGUAGGUGGCAAGCGUUAUCCGGAAUUAUUGGGCGUAAAGCGCGCGCAGGCGGUCUCUUAAGUCUGAUGUGAAAGCCCACGGCUCAACCGUGGAGGGUCAUUGGAAACUGGGAGACUUGAGUGCAGGAGAGAAAAGUGGAAUUCCACGUGUAGCGGUGAAAUGCGAAGAGAUGUGGAGGAACACCAGUGGCGAAGGCGGCUUUUUGGCCUGUAACUGACGCUGAGGCGCGAAAGCGUGGGGAGCAAACAGGAUUAGAUACCCUGGUAGUCCACGCCGUAACGAUGAGUGCUAGGU
Molecule: ribosomal RNA, 473 nt
Filed under: uncultured Bacillota bacterium
Lineage: Bacteria; Bacillati; Bacillota
Description: bacterial SSU rRNA
Rfam family: Bacterial small subunit ribosomal RNA
Source: RNAcentral